RNAcentral lists this ribosomal RNA (414 nucleotides) under uncultured microorganism. Its description in RNAcentral is "partial 16S ribosomal RNA". It matches the Rfam family "Archaeal small subunit ribosomal RNA", at positions 459 to 872 of the family's 1478-position model. The record is from RNAcentral.
CAGCCGCCGCGGUAAUACGUGCUCCCUAAGUGGUAUCCCCUUAUAUUGGGCCUAAAGCGUCCGUAGCCGGCUCGGUAAGUCUUUGGUGAAAUCUGCAGGCUCAACUUGUAGAAGUGCCUAAGAUACUGCCGGGCUCGAGACCGGUAGACGUCAAAGGAAUUUCUUGGGUAGCGGUGAAAUGCUAUGAUCCAAGCAGGACCACCCGUAGCGAAGGCGUUUGACGAGGACGGCUCUGACGGUGAGGAACGAAAGCUGGGGGAGCGACCCGGAUUAGAUACCCGGUUAGUCCCAGCUGUAAACGAUGUGGACUUGGUGUUCCAUGAACUUUGGGUUCAUGGGGUGCCGAAGCGAAGGCGAUAAGUCCACCGCCUGGGGAGUAUACUCGCAAGGGUGAAACUUAAAGGAAUUAGCGGG